This 74-nucleotide transfer RNA is filed under the name Amorphochlora amoebiformis. RNAcentral describes it as "tRNA-Ile". It matches the Rfam family "tRNA". From Rfam's summary of the family: Transfer RNA (tRNA) molecules are approximately 80 nucleotides in length. Their secondary structure includes four short double-helical elements and three loops (D, anti-codon, and T loops). Further hydrogen bonds mediate the characteristic L-shaped molecular structure. tRNAs have two regions of fundamental functional importance: the anti-codon, which is responsible for specific mRNA codon recognition, and the 3' end, to which the tRNAs corresponding amino acid is attached (by aminoacyl-tRNA synthetases). tRNAs cope with the degeneracy of the genetic code in two manners: having more than one tRNA (with a specific anti-codon) for a particular amino acid; and 'wobble' base-pairing, i.e. permitting non-standard base-pairing at the 3rd anti-codon position. The record is from RNAcentral. Lineage: Eukaryota; Cercozoa; Chlorarachniophyceae.
GGCCUCUUAGCUCAGUAGGUUAGAGCAUCGUGCUAAUAACGCGAGAGUCAUUGGUUCGAAACCAAUAGAGGCUA